This 202-nucleotide ribosomal RNA is filed under the name uncultured bacterium. RNAcentral describes it as "partial 16S ribosomal RNA". It matches the Rfam family "Bacterial small subunit ribosomal RNA", at positions 1286 to 1500 of the family's 1533-position model. The record is from RNAcentral.
UCUCAGUUCGGAUCGGAGUCUGCAACCCGACNCCGUGAAGCUGGAUUCGCUAGUAAUCGCGCAUCAGCCAUGGCGCGGUGAAUACGUUCCCGGGCCUUGUACACACCGCCCGUCACACCAUGAGAGUUGAGAAUACCCGAAGCCCAUGUCAAAGUGGUCGAAGGUAGGCUUGAUGAUUGGGGUGAAGUCGUAACAAGGUAAC